Ailuropoda melanoleuca (giant panda) is the source of this 689-nucleotide long non-coding RNA. RefSeq lists it as uncharacterized. NCBI's taxonomy places the organism in Eukaryota, Metazoa, Chordata, Mammalia, Carnivora, Ursidae. The record is from RefSeq and is a predicted model, not a curated record. The transcript is spliced from 3 exons.
CCUAAAAUCUCUUAUUUAGCACUCUGCUGCUUAUAACACUUUGCUGUAGCCUCCUUAAGCAAGCUCCCUCCCCUCUGCCAUAUCUUCCAAUAUACCCCCUACCUUCCAAAAAGUGGUUGCUUUUCUAUUUGGAGAAUAGCAGCAAUUAUUUUCUCAUAUCUUCAGUUGGUUUUGCAGGUGUUCAGAAUGGUUUGAUAACUACCUACCUUAAUUUCAGGACCAGAUGAAAUUAGGGUCACCUACCCCUCCGCCAUCUUAACUCCUUCCUCCUCUGCAGACACACAUGAGGAAAAAAGAGGUUAAACAAUUGUUGGAAACCUCAAGAGAAUCAGACAGCAAGCCAACAGUUUCUGAAAAUUUGCAAUUCUGAAGAAACAAAACAAAAGAGGACCAUAUGAUGACUUAAUAAGCAAGCUGUAAUGGAUUAAGAGUCGUGGACUAUUUUCUCUUUACCACCAGAGAAAAAGCUAAACCAGAAGAGUCUAGAAACUGGGUUGCCCUGCUUUUUGCUCGGAUCUUUAGAUUCCGUCCCCAACUACUGAAUUUCAGUUAACUGUACUGUUUCUCUGCUUAUUAUUAACUAGUCACAAUCUGUAUUUUGUAUUUUUGUUAUUAUCUAUUCACUAUAUUCAAUUUCAAAAUGAUGUGCCCACACAACAAUUUUGUUAUAAAACAUGUUUAAAGCAAAA